GACGAACGCUGGCGGCGUGCCUAAUACAUGCAAGUAGAACGCACAGUUUAUACCGUAGCUUGCUACACCAUAGACUGUGAGUUGCGAACGGGUGAGUAACGCGUAGGUAACCUGCCUGGUAGCGGGGGAUAACUAUUGGAAACGUUAGCUAAUACCGCAUAUUAUUGUUUAUUGCAUGAUAAUUAAUUGAAAGGUGCAAUUGCACCACUACCAGAUGGACCUGCGUUGUAUUAGCUAGUAGGUGAGGUAACGGCACAACUAGGCGACGAUACAUAGCCGAGCUGGGAAGGAGGUUGGCCAAACUGGGACUGGGACAAGGCCCAGACUCCUACGGGAGGGAGCCGGAGGGAAACUUUGGAAAUGGACGAAAGGCUGACCGAGCAACGCCGCGUGAGUGAAGAAGGUUUUCGGAUCGUAAAGGUCUGUUUUAAGAGAAGAAAGGGCGCGAGAGUGGAAAGUUCACACUGUGACGGUAUCUAACCAGAAAGGGACGGCUAACUACGUG
This 505-nucleotide ribosomal RNA is filed under the name uncultured bacterium. RNAcentral describes it as "partial 16S ribosomal RNA". It matches the Rfam family "Bacterial small subunit ribosomal RNA", at positions 28 to 507 of the family's 1533-position model. The record is from RNAcentral.